GAGGCUCAGAGGCAGGGCCUCUGCUCGGCAGGCAGAUGGUCCCAGGUUCAAUCCCCGGCAUCUCCG
This 66-nucleotide transfer RNA is filed under the name Sphaerodactylus townsendi. Its description in RNAcentral is "tRNA-Ala". The record is from RNAcentral. Lineage: Eukaryota; Metazoa; Chordata; Lepidosauria; Squamata; Sphaerodactylidae.